AGUGAACGCUGGCGGUAGGCCUAACACAUGCAAGUCGAACGGCAGCACAGUAAGAGCUUGCUCUUACGGGUGGCGAGUGGCGGACGGGUGAGGAAUACAUCGGAAUCUACUUUUUCGUGGGGGAUAACGUAGGGAAACUUACGCUAAUACCGCAUACGACCUACGGGUGAAAGCAGGGGCUCUUCGGACCUUGCGCGAUUGAAUGAGCCGAUGUCGGAUUAGCUAGUUGGCGGGGUAAAGGCCCACCAAGGCGACGAUCCGUAGCUGGUCUGAGAGGAUGAUCAGCCACACUGGAACUGAGACACGGUCCAGACUCCUACGGGAGGCAGCAGUGGGGAAUAUUGGACAAUGGGCGCAAGCCUGAUCCAGCCAUACCGCGUGGGUGAAGAGGGCCUUCGGGUUGUAAAGCCCUUUUGUUGGGAAAGAAAAGCAGCAGGUUAAUACCCCGCUGUUCUGACGGUACCCAAAGAAUAAGCACCGGCUAACUUCGUG
Molecule: ribosomal RNA, 492 nt
Filed under: uncultured bacterium
Lineage: Bacteria
Description: partial 16S ribosomal RNA
Rfam family: Bacterial small subunit ribosomal RNA
Source: RNAcentral